AAGAGCAAACGCUGCCAAGACCCCAUAGCGCAGAACGCUGCUUUAAGCGCAGUCCGGAAACCGUCGCGGCCGGCGUGGAGUGAUGACAUCACGUAGUAACGCUCGGCUUCCUCCUCCUAGCGACUAGCCGCCUUUGAAUUUCCUCAGCCCAAGAACGCAGCUUGUUAAUACGAACAUUUCGUAGCCAGGUACAAACAUUUCACAGCAAAUGUUUGUGAAUGUCUUCACAGACCUCAUCUAUUUGGUCCUCACAGAAAUUCUCGAGUAGGUAGAUAGGAGACUCUUUACUAGCAGUAGCCUCUCUUCAGGGGUAAGAAACCAGACUGAGACCUGACCCGACUGAAAAGAGGAGACCUCCUGGCUGGCUCUGGCAAAGCAAGCUGCCAUGUUAUGAACUGCGUAUUGACAAGGCCAUGUGGCAAGGAAGAGCUGACAGCCAGUGAAGAACUGAUGCCCUCAGUCCAACAGCCUGCAAGGAACUGAAUUUUGCCAAUAGCCACAUGAGAUUGGAAGUGGAUCCUUCCCAGUUGAAUUUUCAAAUGAGAACCCAGCCCUGGAUGAUCUCUCGAUUGCAGCUUUGUGAGAGAUCAUAAAGCAAAGGACUCAGUUAAUUUGUACCCAGAUUCCUGAGCCAUAGAAACUAUGAGAUAAUAAAUGUGUGUUGUUUAAGCUGCCAA
Acinonyx jubatus (cheetah) is the source of this 677-nucleotide long non-coding RNA. RefSeq lists it as uncharacterized. The record is from RefSeq and is a predicted model, not a curated record. NCBI's taxonomy places the organism in Eukaryota, Metazoa, Chordata, Mammalia, Carnivora, Felidae. The transcript has 2 exons.